AAGUUUAUUCUCAACUACCACUAAUUCUACCAAACAGCAUUCAGACUUCCGAAUCACGGAAUCCAGCUAUCUGUCCUGCCUUCAACGCAAUGCAAUCUGGCCACGAUCACCGUCGGAUCACAACGCAACUAUCGCCGAUGGCUCUGACACCUGUAAUAAACACUCGCAACAAAUCAACCGCGGUAUACGUGCGUCUAACCACGCACGCACGCACGCAUACCGCGUCCAAUGUAUUUGCUCAUUCA
RNAcentral lists this long non-coding RNA (245 nucleotides) under Zostera marina. RNAcentral's name for it is "long non-coding RNA (ZMAR_LNC002419)". Lineage: Eukaryota; Viridiplantae; Streptophyta; Magnoliopsida; Alismatales; Zosteraceae. The record is from RNAcentral.